RNAcentral lists this non-coding RNA (24 nucleotides) under Arabidopsis thaliana (thale cress). Lineage: Eukaryota; Viridiplantae; Streptophyta; Magnoliopsida; Brassicales; Brassicaceae. The record is from RNAcentral.
CAUCUGUUAUUGGGUUCUACGGAA